This 302-nucleotide ribosomal RNA is filed under the name uncultured bacterium. Its description in RNAcentral is "bacterial SSU rRNA". It matches the Rfam family "Bacterial small subunit ribosomal RNA", at positions 370 to 667 of the family's 1533-position model. The record is from RNAcentral.
CAUGGAGGGAGACUCUGAUCCAGCCAUGCCGCGUGCAGUGAAGAAUGCCCUAUGGGUAGUAAACUGCUUUUAUACGGGAAGAAAAAGAGCUACGUGUAGCUUACUGACGGUACCGUAAGAAUAAGGACCGGCUAACUCCGUGCCAGCAGCCGCGGUAAUACGGAGGGUCCGAGCGUUAUCCGGAAUUAUUGGGUUUAAAGGGUCCGUAGGCGGGCCGAUAAGUCAGGGGUGAAAGUCUGCCGCUCAACGGUAGAACUGCCUUUGAUACUGUCGGUCUUGAGUUAUAGUGAAGUUGCCGGAAU